RNAcentral lists this unclassified non-coding RNA (253 nucleotides) under uncultured Anaerolineae bacterium. RNAcentral describes it as "contains 16S-23S intergenic spacer region". It matches the Rfam family "Bacterial small subunit ribosomal RNA", at positions 524 to 776 of the family's 1533-position model. Lineage: Bacteria; Bacillati; Chloroflexota; Anaerolineae. The record is from RNAcentral.
UACGUAGGUGGCGAACGCUAUCCGGAGUGACUGGGUGUAAAGGGUCCGUAGGCGGGCAGGCAAGUCUGACGUGAAAGCGCCCGGCUCAACUGGGCGAGUGCGUUGGAAACUGCCUAUCUUGAAUCCCGCAGAGGUCGGCGGAAUUCCCGGUGUAGUGGUGGAAUGCGUAGAGAUCGGGAGGAACCUCGAAAGCGAAGGCAGCCGACUGGGUGAGGAUUGACGCUGAGGGACGAAAGCGUGGGGAGCGAACAGG